AGUCACUGACAUUAGAUACCCGUGUAGUCCCAGCCGUAAACUAUGCGCGUUAGGUGUACUGGUGACCACGAGUCACCGGGGUGCCGGAGAGAAGUUGUUAAGUCUGCUACUUGGGAGUACGUCCGCAAGGAUGAAACUUAAAGGAAUUGGCGGGGGAGCACCGCAACGGGAGGAGCGUGCGGUUUAAUUGGAUUCAACACCGUAAACUCACCAGGGAAGACUGUUACAUGAAGGCCGAGAUGAAGACUCUGCUAGAUUUUCAG
RNAcentral lists this ribosomal RNA (263 nucleotides) under uncultured archaeon. RNAcentral describes it as "partial 16S ribosomal RNA". It matches the Rfam family "Archaeal small subunit ribosomal RNA", at positions 717 to 982 of the family's 1478-position model. The record is from RNAcentral.